RNAcentral lists this long non-coding RNA (1230 nucleotides) under Homo sapiens (human). Its description in RNAcentral is "HSALNT0369651". The record is from RNAcentral. Lineage: Eukaryota; Metazoa; Chordata; Mammalia; Primates; Hominidae.
UAGAAUGUGACAGUCCACAGAAAUAUCUGAUUUCAAAGAGAUGCUUGCAUUCUGUACUGAUGCCAUCUAGAAUUGUAAAUGACCAGUGUCACACUGCUAAGUGGAGAAAGCGUGAAAGAAGAAUCCCAUCAGUACAUUCACGAUAGAGGAAAUAAGAAACAAUGAAAGCCACAAGUUUACUCGAAGGCAGCAAAAUUGGCCCUACUCCCAACCCUGCAACAUGCACCAUUUCCAUAAACAAUCUACAGAGAUGGCUGAGAAAAAGAAAAAGGGGUACUCUCCUUUACCCCUUCUCCAAAGCCCGAUGAAGUAAAGAGUAGAAAUCAAGAGUGUCUACAAGAAUUGGGGAUUGGCAUUGAUUCUCCACUGUGUGAUUACUCAUGCUUUAUGGCAAUGUGCCUAUUUAAAGGGCAGGUAAUGACUUAGCAAGAAGGAAGGAGAGAGAAUGUCAAACUCACCUGAAGUCUUACCAAUUGGUGUGGCAGGUAUGUGGCUGUUUCCCAUGAGUGAAUACACUAUAAGAUUAUUAGGCUCUAGCUGUUUUGCUUGUAUCUAAUCCAGGUGACACCAGCAUUUAGAGACUAUGAGGUGUACUGGGAGCUGAGAUAAUGAAAGAGGUAGCAUUAAAGUAAUAUCCCCCAAAUUAUGGCAGAUCUAUGGUUAGAAGCCUAAGAAUAACAUGUGAAAACCUCAUGUCAGAGCCUGACAAUAUACCAGAAUUUGGAUACCUGCCAUACAGAAGGUACCAGCCGCCAAGGGGUAACUGUCAGAAAAGUGACAACAAUCACAAGUUGGGAAAAGGACUUGUCUCUUUGCCCCUCACUCCUCUCUGUGCCCAAUAAUUUGGAUGAGCUAUUGCCUACAGAAUGAAAGGAGAGUUGUAGGGCUAUGAAUCAAAUAUGAGACAAGUUUUAAAUGAGAAGAAAGUAACAUUUAAUAAGCAAAAAUGCCCAGAGAACUAUGGAAUCAUCCCAAGAAAGGAUUAAUAAACAAAAAUUGGAUUCAAUAGAAAACACAUCAGAGAAAAAAGUUAAUAUUUUUAUACCAUAGAUGUGAGAGUCCUUAAUGCACUAGUUACAGCAUAUUAGUGCAUUAUGUACAUUCCAUGUGACUCUCUUAUUACCACUAUACCCACAAUGCUUAGAACUGGGUCCUCAAUAAUCGAGUAUGGGUGGCUAAAGGACUUUUCAUUUUAUGUGGCAGAGGAUAAUAAUAAAAAAAGAAAUAAUA